This 708-nucleotide unclassified non-coding RNA is filed under the name Hevea brasiliensis (rubber tree). Lineage: Eukaryota; Viridiplantae; Streptophyta; Magnoliopsida; Malpighiales; Euphorbiaceae. The record is from RNAcentral.
GAAAAAUUGAGGAUGGGAAGUACAAAGAGCUAAAUUUGUAAAGUUGAAACCAUAAAUAGAGAAAACUCUUUUCUUCUUGUCCUCCAGUUCACUUUGUAGCUUGUUGCUAAUCCUUAUAAUAAAAAAUAAAUAAAAUAAACUUCAGUUGAACACUGAUUUUACCCCACUUUGUUGCUAAUGGUUUGAUAAAGAGACUGAAAUUGUGUGUUCCAUUUAUCAAUAGCUGUAUACUUCUUCAUCCCCUUUGACCUGUCGCAAUGCUCCAACAAUUUGUUUACUUGGUCAAUAUGACCUUGUAUCCGGUUAUCCAAUAUCAGUGACACCAAUAACGUUUCCACUUCACCUUCCGGUACGUUAAUCUCCUUCGAUAUAAAAGGAAUCCUGAUCCGUGUGUAUGGUUUAAUGAGUUUCAGCAACACUUGAGUCCUUAUAUUCUUCAACAAGUCCUCGAUAUAAUUUCUAAUGAAUGGAUCAUCCAUGAUAGUUUUUCUAUUGCUCUUAAGGAUUUUCUCAAACUCCAAUAUCUCAUUUCGUUGAUAUGCAGCAAUCAAAUUAGUCAUGGCCAAGAUUUCUGGGUCAUUUUUGUACGGUUUUGCCUCCUGCCCAUCAAACGGAUUAACUUGUGAUUCCAUAAGCAUGUUGGCCAGCACUAAGUAUUUCAGGCACUGUAUGCGCCGUUGAUUACCAGCUUCAUCGUAAUUCUUAAAA